Molecule: ribosomal RNA, 274 nt
Filed under: uncultured bacterium
Lineage: Bacteria
Description: partial 16S ribosomal RNA
Rfam family: Bacterial small subunit ribosomal RNA
Source: RNAcentral
AUACGGAGGGUGCGAGCGUUAAUCGGAAUUACUGGGCGUAAAGGGCGCGUAGGCGGUUAAAUCAGUCAGAUGUGAAAGCCCCGGGCUUAACCUGGGAAUGGCAUUUGAUACUGUUUAGCUAGAGUUUGGUAGAGGGGAGUGGGAUUUCCGGUGUAGCGGUGAAAUGCGUAGAGAUCGGAAGGAACAUCAGUGGCGAAGGCGGCUCUCUGGACCAAAACUGACGCUGAGGUGCGAAAGCGUGGGUAGCAAACAGGAUUAGAUACCCCAGUAGUCC